GCCUUCGUGGUGUAGUGGUCAACACGCUGGGCACGUAUUCCAGAGGUCCGAGGUUCGAGUCUCAGCGAAGACG
This 73-nucleotide transfer RNA is filed under the name Stegodyphus mimosarum. It matches the Rfam family "tRNA". From Rfam's summary of the family: Transfer RNA (tRNA) molecules are approximately 80 nucleotides in length. Lineage: Eukaryota; Metazoa; Arthropoda; Arachnida; Araneae; Eresidae. The record is from Rfam by way of RNAcentral.